RNAcentral lists this non-coding RNA (122 nucleotides) under uncultured Eubacterium sp. RNAcentral's name for it is "SAM riboswitch (S box leader)". It matches the Rfam family "SAM riboswitch aptamer (S box leader)". From Rfam's summary of the family: The SAM riboswitch is found upstream of a number of genes which code for proteins involved in methionine or cysteine biosynthesis in Gram-positive bacteria. The SAM riboswitch acts at the level of transcription termination control. Lineage: Bacteria; Bacillati; Bacillota; Clostridia; Eubacteriales; Eubacteriaceae. The record is from RNAcentral.
CCUUAUCAAGAGCGGCUGAGGGAAUAGGCCCUGCGAUGCCCGGCAACCUGUGUACGCGUCUGAAGCGCCAAAAGGUGCCACGUCCUACAGAAGGUUUUUGGUGACCUUUCUGAAAGAUGAGG